CUGUAGCUCAGCUGGAUAGAGCGUUGGCCUCCGGAGCCAAAGGUCGGGGGUUCGAAUCCCCCCAGGUG
This 68-nucleotide transfer RNA is filed under the name uncultured Eubacterium sp. It matches the Rfam family "tRNA", at positions 5 to 66 of the family's 71-position model. Rfam says of the family: Transfer RNA (tRNA) molecules are approximately 80 nucleotides in length. Their secondary structure includes four short double-helical elements and three loops (D, anti-codon, and T loops). Lineage: Bacteria; Bacillati; Bacillota; Clostridia; Eubacteriales; Eubacteriaceae. The record is from RNAcentral.